CCUGUCAUUGUCCCCAUCCUGUCUCCAUUCUUGUCACCAUCCCCAUCCCUGUCCCCACAGCCCAAUGGGUCCCAAAGGGCCACAGCCCCCAGCUGAAAGCAAUAACCCCCCUGGUUAUAGGCAGCAGUUCCUGCUUUGUUCCCUGCCUGCUCUGGGGGGAGGACAGGGCUGGGGAGCUCCUAAAGUGCCUAAUUUGCAUGAUGCUAAUUGAGUGCCUGCAAAUGCCCUGGGCCAGGCGGAGGUGCUGGGGCUCUGUUGUCGCUCAGCAGAGGCGUUGGGGCCGUGGGCAGCAGCGAUGAAGCCUGAGCCCCCCGCUCUCUCGAGGAAGAAAGGAGCGAUGGGCUGCGCCUGGCAGAGCCUCCUCUGCCUCCGUCCCCGCUGGCAGAAGAAGAAGGUGGUUUAUUCCACCCACAUCCACAAGCUCCUAAACCAGAUGUGGUCCGCUGGAGCCUCCUGCCUGGUGGCCGCUGUCCUCGCCAGGCUCGGCAGCCCCCGGCUGCUUGGGGACGUGGCGCUGGAGGCCACCCGGCUGUCCCGCUGCGGCAGAAGAAGCCACCUCGGCCACCAGCAGGUCCUGCUGGCCACGAAGCUGGUGCUGCUGCGUGAGCUCUCCAAGCCUCCCCCAGGAUCCUUAUGCUGUGACUGAAGGGACAUGAGACAGUCUUAGGAGUAUUUUAACGUGGUUUUGGUAAAUAAAGUAUUUAUUAGCAUUGUUUGA
Columba livia (rock pigeon) is the source of this 718-nucleotide long non-coding RNA. RefSeq lists it as uncharacterized. The record is from RefSeq and is a predicted model, not a curated record. The transcript has 3 exons. Lineage: Eukaryota; Metazoa; Chordata; Aves; Columbiformes; Columbidae.